UACGGAGGAUGCGAGCGUUAUCCGGAUUUAUUGGGUUUAAAGGGUGCGUAGGCGGUCCGUUAAGUCAGCGGUAAAAUUGCGGGGCUCAACCCCGUCGAGCCGUUGAAACUGGCAGACUUGAGUUGGCGAGAAGUACGCGGAAUGCGCGGUGUAGCGGUGAAAUGCAUAGAUAUCGCGCAGAACUCCGAUUGCGAAGGCAGCGUACCGGCGCCAGACUGACGCUGAGGCACGAAAGCGUGGGGAUUGAACAGG
RNAcentral lists this ribosomal RNA (252 nucleotides) under uncultured bacterium. RNAcentral describes it as "partial 16S ribosomal RNA". It matches the Rfam family "Bacterial small subunit ribosomal RNA", at positions 524 to 776 of the family's 1533-position model. The record is from RNAcentral.